This 209-nucleotide non-coding RNA is filed under the name Bacteroides sp. The record is from RNAcentral. RNAcentral also lists the same sequence under 1 other name. Lineage: Bacteria; Pseudomonadati; Bacteroidota; Bacteroidia; Bacteroidales; Bacteroidaceae.
CUACAUUUGCCGCUGUUUUGUUCCGUAAUCUCCGUUCGGAGAUGUGGAUGAAAAGGGAAUCGGGUGUGAAUCCCGGACAGUCCCGCUGCUGUGUGUUUCAAGAGGAAUGUAUCAUACUCGGAUGCCACUGUUUUUCUGAUAAUAAAGAGAAUGGGAAGGCGAUACAUUAGGAAACGAGUCAGAAGACCUGCAAAACAAAGUCGAAAAAU